GAUGAACGCUGGCGGCGUGCCUAAUACAUGCAAGUCGAGCGAACAGACCAGGAGCUUGCUCCUCUGACGUUAGCGGCGGACGGGUGAGUAACACGUGGAUAACCUACCUAUAAGACUGGGAUAACUUCGGGAAACCGGAGCUAAUACCGGAUAAUAUAUUGAACCGCAUGGUUCAAUAGUGAAAGACGGUUUUGCUGUCACUUAUAGAUUGAUCCGCGCCGCAUUAGCUAGUUGGUAAGGUAACGGCUUACCAAGCCAACGAUGCGUAGCAGACCUGAGAGGGUCGUCGGCCACACUGGAUCAGAGACUCGUUCCAGACUCCUACGCGAGGCAGCAGUAGGGAAUCUUCCGCGAUGGGCGAGAGCUUGACGGAGCAACGCCGCGUGAGGGAUGACGGUCUUCGGAUCGUAAAACGCUGUUAUUAGUGAAGAACAAAUGUUUAAGUACCUAUGCACGUCUUGACGGUACCUAAUCAGAAAGCCACGGCUAACUACGUG
Molecule: ribosomal RNA, 497 nt
Filed under: uncultured bacterium
Lineage: Bacteria
Description: partial 16S ribosomal RNA
Rfam family: Bacterial small subunit ribosomal RNA
Source: RNAcentral